RNAcentral lists this ribosomal RNA (206 nucleotides) under uncultured bacterium. RNAcentral describes it as "partial 16S ribosomal RNA". It matches the Rfam family "Bacterial small subunit ribosomal RNA", at positions 1294 to 1500 of the family's 1533-position model. The record is from RNAcentral.
CGGAUUNAAGGCUGAAAUUCGCCUUCAUGAAGCUGGAAUUGCUAGUAAUGGCAGGUCAGCAUACUGCCGUGAAUACGUUCCCGGGCCUUGUACACACCGCCCGUCACACUAUGAGAGUUGGAAAUACCCGAAGCCUGUGAGCUAACUUUUAGAGGCAGCAGUCGAAGGUAGAGCCAAUGAUUGGGGUGAAGUCGUAACAAGGUAGC